Molecule: unclassified non-coding RNA, 375 nt
Filed under: plant metagenome
Description: partial contains 5.8S ribosomal RNA, internal transcribed spacer 2, and large subunit ribosomal RNA
Rfam family: 5.8S ribosomal RNA (bases 1-107)
Source: RNAcentral
AAAAUGCGAUACUUGGUGUGAAUUGCAGAAUCCCGUGAACCAUCGAGUUUUUGAACGCAAGUUGCGCCCGAAGCCAUCCGGCUGAGGGCACGCCUGCCUGGGCGUCACACAUCGCGUCGCUCCCCACCAUACCUCCCCAACGGGUUGGCAUGGUGUUGGGGGCGGAUAAUGGCCUCCCGUGCUUGUGUUUCGGUUGGCCUAAAUAAGAGUUCCCUUCGGCGGACACACGACUAGUGGUGGUUGAAUAGACCCUCGUCUUUUGUUGCGUGUCGUGAGCUGUAAGGGUAGCCCUCAUCAAAGACCCCAUUGUAUCGUCUUCGGAUGAUGCUUCGACCGCGACCCCAGGUCAGGCGGGACUACCCGCUGAGUUUAAGC